GUGUGUGUGUGUGUGUGUGUGUGUGUGUGUGUGUGUGUGUGUGUGUGUGUGUGUGAAAUGAAGUGCAAAAUCAAUGACCUCACAAAUGAUCCCUCUUCCGAUUGGUCCAGAUCAAUAUCAUCAUUAAUCCAUUUUCAACAUCUCAACCCUUACCAUCAAGGGUCAUGGAAUCUCACUCCGAUCGUCCUCUGCGCGCGCACACACACACACACACACACACACACACACACACACACACACACACACACAGGUAUGUUAAAUUAGGCAUCCUGUAGAACCCUCUCCACCCAGUCCCACGUCCCUCUCUCUCUCGUUUCAGGGCUGUUUUCUUAUCACUCUUUUUCUUUGUCAUCGGAACAUCCCUUUCUUUUUUUCCUUUCUUUUUAAGUUAGUGUUUUGGUCUUUUGUUUUCUUGUUGUUGUUUUUUUUUAUAUAAAAAAAAUAUAUCAAAUAUAAGGAACUAUUCAACGCGGGUGUUGCAUGAAUGUAUGUUUACAUGGGGAAAUUAUAUAAAAAUGACAUUGAGAAAAAAAAAAAAUACAAAGGCAAAAAUUAUUUAU
Molecule: long non-coding RNA, 560 nt
Organism: Clupea harengus (Atlantic herring)
Lineage: Eukaryota; Metazoa; Chordata; Actinopteri; Clupeiformes; Clupeidae
Exons: 2
Source: RefSeq, a predicted model, not a curated record